UACGUAUGGUGCAAGCGUUAUCCGGAUUUACUGGGCGUAAAGGGAGCGUAGGCGGCGCGUUAAGUCUGAUGUGAAAACCCGAGGCUCAACCACGGGAGUGCAUUGGAAACUGGCGGGCUGGAGUGCCGGAGAGGUAAGCGGAAUUCCUAGUGUAGCGGUGAAAUGCGUAGAUAUUAGGAGGAACACCAGUGGCGAAGGCGGCUUACUGGACGGCAACUGACGCUGAGGCUCGAAAGCGUGGGGAGCAAACAGG
Molecule: ribosomal RNA, 253 nt
Filed under: uncultured bacterium
Lineage: Bacteria
Description: partial 16S ribosomal RNA
Rfam family: Bacterial small subunit ribosomal RNA
Source: RNAcentral